UGUAGUCUGCAACCCGACUACAUGAAGCCGGAAUCGCUAGUAAUCGCGGAUCAGAAUGCCGCGGUGAAUACGUUCCCGGGUCUUGUACACACCGCCCGUCACACCAUGGGAGUCGGGAAUGCCCGAAGUCAGUGACCCAACCUUAGGGAGGGAGCUGCCGAAGGCAGGCCUGGUGACUGGGGUGAAGUCGUAACAAGGUACC
RNAcentral lists this ribosomal RNA (202 nucleotides) under uncultured bacterium. RNAcentral's name for it is "partial 16S ribosomal RNA". It matches the Rfam family "Bacterial small subunit ribosomal RNA", at positions 1299 to 1500 of the family's 1533-position model. The record is from RNAcentral.